GUCCCACAAAUGAUUUGUUAGGCAUGCAGAUUUGUAUUGUUUCUGAUACUACAAGGACAACAAAUACAGCUCUUUUUUUCCAAACUGCUACACCCAGGAAGCUGGAAGAAGAGUAGAUAUUACAUAUUGAGUUUCUGAGAUAAAUGAUGAUUCCAUUUAUUGAGAAAGUGGCAUUCAGGAGACGCAGCGUUAUGAGCCCCCACAAGUGAUUUCUGGGAUUACCUGUCGACAAACUACUUUCUCUCUAACCUCAGGAUCAUCCUGUAAAAUUUGAAUGGACCU
Long non-coding RNA from Rhinopithecus roxellana (golden snub-nosed monkey), 282 nucleotides. RefSeq lists it as uncharacterized. The record is from RefSeq and is a predicted model, not a curated record. The transcript has 3 exons. Lineage: Eukaryota; Metazoa; Chordata; Mammalia; Primates; Cercopithecidae.